GAUGAACGCUGGCGGCGUGCCUAAUACAUGCAAGUCGAGCGAACAGACGAGGAGCUUGCUCCUCUGACGUUAGCGGCGGACGGGUGAGUAACACGUGGAUAACCUACCUAUAAGACUGGGAUAACUUCGGGAAACCGGAGCUAAUACCGGAUAAUAUAUUGAACCGCAUGGUUCAAUAGUGAAAGACGGUUUUGCUGUCACUUAUAGAUGGAUCCGCGCCGCAUUAGCUAGUUGGUAAGGUAACGGCUUACCAAGGCGACGAUGCGUAGCCGACCUGAGAGGGUGAUCGGCCACACUGGAACUGAGACACGGUCCAGACUCCUACGGGAGGCAGCAGUAGGGAAUCUUCCGCAAUGGGCGAAAGCCUGACGGAGCAACGCCGCGUGAGUGAUGAAGGUCUUCGGAUCGUAAAACUCUGUUAUUAGGGAAGAACAAAUGUGUAAGUAACUAUGCACGUCUUGACGGUACCUAAUAGAAAGCCACGGCUAACUACGUG
Molecule: ribosomal RNA, 496 nt
Filed under: uncultured bacterium
Lineage: Bacteria
Description: partial 16S ribosomal RNA
Rfam family: Bacterial small subunit ribosomal RNA
Source: RNAcentral